CAUUCACGGAGAGUUUGAUCGUGGCUCAGGACGAACGCUGGCGGCGUGCGUAACACAUGCAAGUCGAACGGUGAAGCCGUUCGGGGUGGAUCAGUGGCGAACGGGUGAGUAACACGUGGGCAAUCUGCCCUGCACUCUGGGACAAGCCCUGGAAACGGGGUCUAAUACCGGAUAUGAC
This 178-nucleotide ribosomal RNA is filed under the name Streptomyces rubellomurinus subsp. indigoferus. RNAcentral's name for it is "partial 16S ribosomal RNA". It matches the Rfam family "Bacterial small subunit ribosomal RNA", at positions 1 to 179 of the family's 1533-position model. Lineage: Bacteria; Bacillati; Actinomycetota; Actinomycetes; Kitasatosporales; Streptomycetaceae. The record is from RNAcentral.